RNAcentral lists this long non-coding RNA (220 nucleotides) under Cavia porcellus (domestic guinea pig). RNAcentral describes it as "lncRNA (ENSCPOG00000040576.1)". Lineage: Eukaryota; Metazoa; Chordata; Mammalia; Rodentia; Caviidae. The record is from RNAcentral.
GUCAGUCUCUGGAAUGCGAGUUGUUUAUAAAUGCAGCCGCUAAGGCCACUCACCACCUGGGCCCACAGUGUUGGUGAGCUGUAUGCAGGAGGUGCCAGCAGUCCGUGCUCUCACAGGGCGUUGGGCAGGACCACUUCCUGAAGUGACCCAGACUUCCAUUUAAUUGUUAUUUACUGCUGUGCAUUCCAAGUCUACAGCUUUCUUCCAAUCCAUCUUUCAA